GAUCUUUGACAUUCUUGAUACAAACAAUGGCGAAUACAGAUAAUCUGCAGGUGAAAGGCCUGCACGGGAUUAACCCAUUGUCGUUAGCCUGCGACCUAAUGUGCGCAGGGCGAAGCCGUGGAAGGCACGGAAUACCCGAGGCUCGGAAGCCUCCUGACGACAC
The submitters of this non-coding RNA (163 nucleotides) gave its source as unclassified sequences. The record is from Rfam.